GGGCGAGUGGCGAAAUGGCAGACGCGCUGGCUUCAGGAGCCAGUGUCCGCAAGGACGUGGAGGUUCGACUCCUCUCUCGCCCACCA
Molecule: transfer RNA, 86 nt
Filed under: Candidatus Berkelbacteria bacterium
Lineage: Bacteria; Candidatus Berkelbacteria
Description: tRNA-Leu
Rfam family: tRNA
About the family: Transfer RNA (tRNA) molecules are approximately 80 nucleotides in length.
Source: RNAcentral